AUGACGAACUCCAACGAAUGUUCUGAGAUGUGUAGCAGAUUGAUGCACAUAAGUAGAGAAUCGAUUUUGAUGUCGAAAAGAAGAGUGUGGGAUCCGCCGGUGAUUCAGAGAGCCGUGAUGAUGAUGAUGAUGAUGCAAUUCGCAGAGGUGUUAAAGAUGCGUCGCCGCCUUGUGUUGCAGAGAAAGAUUGAUGUUGUGAUGAUUGAAGAAUAUUGGAGAUCUGAGGUUUUUUUUAGAAAGGUGAAGAUUGAAGAUCAAUUGUGA
Vicia faba (fava bean) is the source of this 264-nucleotide non-coding RNA. Lineage: Eukaryota; Viridiplantae; Streptophyta; Magnoliopsida; Fabales; Fabaceae. The record is from the annotation of a GenBank genome assembly.